This 557-nucleotide unclassified non-coding RNA is filed under the name Homo sapiens (human). RNAcentral describes it as "trafficking protein particle complex subunit 12 (ENSG00000274891.3)". The record is from RNAcentral. Lineage: Eukaryota; Metazoa; Chordata; Mammalia; Primates; Hominidae.
UCUGGAUCCCGUGCUCUGGUGUUCUGUGUCUGGAUCCCGUGCUCUGGUGUUCUGUGGUAGAACGCACAGCGUCGUGCGAGUGCACGUUCGUGAGGAGGAAACACGCCUUGGACAAAGCCUGCAGCCAGGAUCAGAAAGCGUAAAUAAAGCAGCGCGUUCCUUCACCUCGGGCAGAAUAACUUUGCAGAAGCCCACAGGUUCUUCACAGAGAUCUUAAGGAUGGAUCCAAGAAACGCAGUGGCCAACAACAACGCUGCCGUGUGUCUGCUCUACCUGGGCAAGCUCAAGGACUCCCUGCGGCAGCUGGAGGCCAUGGUCCAGCAGGACCCCAGGCACUACCUGCACGAGAGCGUGCUCUUCAACCUGACCACCAUGUACGAGCUGGAGUCCUCACGGAGCAUGCAGAAGAAACAGGCCCUGCUGGAGGCUGUCGCCGGCAAGGAGGGGGACAGCUUCAACACACAGUGCCUCAAGCUGGCCUAGCUGCCUCCAACACACUACGUCAGAAGGACCCGGGUCUUUGAAACUGUGUCUUGAAGCUAAUGUAUUAAUGUGAC